ACCGUACAACCGUACAGUGACAGCAUUCUCUCAGCCAGCAGCCCGUCAACAUUCUCUGCGAAGCAACUGGGACACCCCCAGGGCAGACCGUAGGCAUCCCGGCUCAUCAAGUGCGCACUGAAGAGGGCCUGGGCUCACUUUUGUGACCUACUUCCAUCCCCGGAGACCUUUCCUUGUGGACCGGUGCUGACAAUGCGUAGGCUAUGCUUUGUGGGAGAGGAGGAAGAGAACCAACUAGAGAAAAAAAACCACCUGACAUGGAAUGGAUACAAGACCCAUCGAGAUUACAAGAUUGGCUCUCAAUGACGCGGCGCAGGAAGUAAAUUUUGUGGAAGCGUCCCACUAUGGAACACGAACUGAGGACGGGGCUUUCGCCUGCCAGGUGCCGUCUAAACCCGUCUUCACACCAGAACCAGAGAAGACCAAGCAAAAACCCGAUACCAAGUAUCUUUUGGCAGCCUAAUAAUGACAAAGUGACAAAAAAGGAGCUCCUGUUUUUGUCUUCUGUGGACAACUUCUCUGCGUAAAGAGUUGAAGGCAGUCCAAGAGCAACGUGAAGCUGCCCCAAUCCUCUUAUCUCCGCUCUGCGUCUCUGGGACUGUCCAUCUGUCAGCCUGUUUACUCUGCUCCACACAGGCGGACCGUGAUAUCCUCCACUCAUUUUGAACCAACUGGGGAGGGAAAGCCAAAUAUGGUGGUGUCGGAUAAGAGUGGACGGGCACCACUAAUGAUGUCGACAGCAGUUCACCUUCCAUUUCCGUUGUGCAAACUCCUUUGAGAUGUUUUGAGGAAUACUUGCUGUUAAUGUGCCUUUUUUCCAAUUAAAUAAUAGACUAAGCAAAGCAAUAUGUGGUUUAAUCGUGCAUUAACUCAUUGAAUGCUAUUGGUUACUAUAGACAUCUAAUCUAUUUUAACGGUGAGGACUGGCAGCAAUGUCAUCAAUGAUAAUGAAUGAGUUUAUAUUGCAUUUUGGGAAUAAGACAUACACAGAAUAAUUAAUGAAUAAUUGCUCUUAACUGAAAUAAAAGUUGCAACUUAAUUGACAAGUUUUAUGUCCACCAAUGAUUACAUAUAGUUCAUCAAUAGGGGUUUAAAUCACCAUUUUCAUGACAAUACAACAUUGUUUCUAGGCUGACAAGGAUACGAUAUCUGAUAAUAUUAUUAAGGGGCCGUUUACACGACCACGGCAACGGGGGUGACAACGCAAAAACUUUUCCAGAGAGCCCUACCGUUUACAUGGCGACUGCGUUUUGAGCGGCUGAAAAUGCUAAAAUUUUAAAACACCUUCCAGAGUGGAAAUCAUGAAAAAGCUCCCUCCUGUCAUUGCCGUUUAAACAGUCAACAAUGCAAAAGUGAGUUUUAAGUGACAACAGACUUCCAUACUCCAGAACAGUAGGUGACGAUAAGGGCUCAAAUACACCAAGCACAUCUUCGUUCCGGUUUCAGUCCGGGUCCGGCAAAAAAUAGCGCCGGAGCCAAUCCGUUCCCAUUAUAUCCUAUUGUUCAACGUAUACCGGCUGCGUCAGUGCUCCGGAUUGACUGCGGACCAUCUGGUUUAGGCUAUUUUCUAUUUUUGCGGGAGACGCAUCCGUCAAAAUGGGUGGAUCCAGGCCUGGAGUCAACAGCCAAGUGUCUUAUUCACGGUUUAAACAGCAGCGAACAUGAAAGAAGAAUGUUUCAUCAUGGAGGUGGAAAGUCACAAUGUUAGGUUUUGUGUUUGUUUUCUCCUAGUGUGACUUGUCCCUGUGAUUGCCCAUUGAUUUCACCUGAUGUGCCUUCUCCUAGACUAUAAUCCUGUGCUCACCUGUUCCUUGUUGUCUCGUUACCCCUUGUCUGCUUGUGUGUAUAUAAGCUCCCAUUUUCUGUUCACUCCUUUGUUGCGUCAUUGUCAAUGUCUGUCUGUCUCAAAGUCAAGACCUCUCCAAGCCUUCGUGUACCAGUCCCUCCGUUUAAGUAAGUUUUGUUUAGAACCUUGCCUUUUGAUCCCCAGUCCUUUUGUUUGUACUUUGUGCUUUUGUUAUAAUUAAAACCAUUUUUUGAGUUCUCUGCCACCUGCCUUGCGUUGUUGUUUCCUUGCAUUUGGGUCCACACAACCUGCCUGCCCGUGCGCUCCCUGACACACAAAGGGAUUUAUGAUGCAGCAGAUCAUUAUUAUAAGAACAACAUUAAAAAGGAAGCGGCAAGGUGUCCUAUUAUCUGUGUUUUUCUGGCAAUGAUAUUCAACCCACGACGUGCUGAAAACUUUGUUUUUAUUCCCACACGGCACUAACAACACUUCCUCAACCUGUGGCUCUCGGUCAGACACGGCGCUCCGCAUACGCAUAACACGCACUGCGCGUAGGGCACCAACUCUGCCUGAAGGGGCACAAAAAAAAAUAUCAAGUUUGUAAAAAAUCCUAAAAAAUAGUAAUUGUAAUAAUAACAACAAUAUAUAGUAUUUAAAAUAAAACUUUGUAAAGCCUGAUAAACGCAAGUAAUACAAAUAUAAGUAACAUAGGCUCAUUAUUUACACAAAAAAAGAAUCUCCUGUGCGACCCUCUCGUCAGUCUACCUUUGGUGCCCCCCCCCCCCCAAUUCCCUAGUGGUUUGCUCCAUUAUGCUUCAGUAGCAAAUUUGGCAGAAGUUUAUUCUUGAAAGGAAAUGUCAUCGAAAAGACAACAAGAGUCGGGGGUGAAAAA
This is a long non-coding RNA of Corythoichthys intestinalis (scribbled pipefish), 2678 nucleotides long. RefSeq lists it as uncharacterized. The transcript has 4 exons. Lineage: Eukaryota; Metazoa; Chordata; Actinopteri; Syngnathiformes; Syngnathidae. The record is from RefSeq and is a predicted model, not a curated record.